UGGUUUAAUUCGAAGCAACGCGAAGAACCUUACCAGGUCUUGACAUCCCGAUGCUAUUUCUAGAGAUAGAAAGUUACUUCGGUACAUCGGUGACAGGUGGUGCAUGGUUGUCGUCAGCUCGUGUCGUGAGAUGUUGGGUUAAAGUCCCGCAACGAGCGCAACCCCUAUUGUUAGUUGCCAUCAUUCAGUUGGGCACUCUAGCGAGACUGCCGGUAAUAAACCGGA
Molecule: ribosomal RNA, 225 nt
Filed under: uncultured bacterium
Lineage: Bacteria
Description: partial 16S ribosomal RNA
Rfam family: Bacterial small subunit ribosomal RNA
Source: RNAcentral